This 173-nucleotide unclassified non-coding RNA is filed under the name soil metagenome. Its description in RNAcentral is "partial internal transcribed spacer 1". The record is from RNAcentral.
CAAGAAGCCGAAAGGCUACUUAAAACCAUCGCGAACUUAUCCAAGUUGCUUCGGCGGCGCGGCUCCCCUCACGGGGGACCGCAGCCCCCGCCUCUCAGGAGGUAAGGGGCAGCCGCCGGAGGUACGAAACUCUGUAUUAUAGUGGUGUCUCUGAGUAUAAAACAAAUAAGUUA